UAACACAUGCAAGUCGAACGAAGUAGCAAUACUUAGUGGCAGACGGGUGAGUAACAUGUGGGUAUCUGCCCUUUGGCCUGGAAUAACACGAGGAAACUUGUGCUAAUACCGGAUAAGUCUUUACGGAGAAAGCUUUAUGCACCAUUGGAUGAGCCCGCACUUGAUUAGUUUGUUGGUGGGGUAAUGGCCUACCAAGACAAUGAUCAAUAGCCGAUUUGAGAGGAUGAUCAGCCACAUUGGGACUGAGACACGGCCCAAACUCCUACGGGAGGCAGCAGUGGGGAAUCUUGCACAAUGGAGGAAACUCUGAUGCAGCGAUGCCGCGUGAGUGAAGAAGGCCCUUGGGUUGUAAAGCUCUUUCGUCGGGGAAGAAAAUGACUGUACCCGAAUAAGAAGGUCCGGCUAACUUCGUGCCAGCAGCCGCGGUAAUACGAAGGGACCUAGCGUAGUUCGGAAUUACUGGGCUUAAAGAGUUCGUAGGUGGUUAAAAUAGUUGGUGGUGAAAUCCCAGAGCUUAACUCUGGAACUGCCAUCAAAACUUUUUAGCUAGAGUAUGAUAGAGGAAAGCAGAAUUUCUAGUGUAGAGGUGAAAUUCGUAGAUAUUAGAAAGAAUACCAAUUGCGAAGGCAGCUUUCUGGAUCAUUACUGACACUGAGGAACGAAAGCAUGGGUAGCGAAGAGGAUUAGAUACCCUCGUAGUCCAUGCCGUAAACGAUGUGUGUUAGACGUUGGAAAUUUAUUUUCAGUGUCGCAGCGAAAGCAAUAAACACACCGCCUGGGGAGUACGACCGCAAGGUUAAAACUCAAAUGAAUUGACGGGGACCCGCACAAGUAGUGGAGCAUGUGGUUUAAUUCGAAGAUACGCGCAGAACCUUACCAACACUUGACAUGUUCGUCGCGACUCUAAGAGAUUAGAGUUUUCGGUUCGGCCGGACGAAACACAGGUGCUGCAUGGCUGUCGUCAGCUCGUGUCGUGAGAUGUUGGGUUAAGUCCCGCAACGAGCGCAACCCUCACUUUUAGUUGCCAUCAUUAAGUUGGGCACUCUGAAAGAACUGCCAGUGAUAAGCUGGAGGAAGGUGGGGAUGACGCCAAGUCCUCAUGGCCCUUACGUGUUGGGCUACACACGUGCUACAAUGGUAUCUACAACAGGAAGCAAAAUGGCAACAUUAAGCAAAUCCCAAAAAGAUACCUCAGUUCGGAUUGCACUCUGCAACUCGAGUGCAUGAAGCUGGAAUUACUAGUAAUCGUGGAUCAGCGUGCCACGGUGAAUACGUUCCCGGGUCUUGUACACACCGCCCGUCACACCAUGGGAGUUGGUUCUACCUUAAGGCAAGGUUUAAUACCCUUGACCACGGUAUAGUCAGCGACUGGGGGUG
RNAcentral lists this ribosomal RNA (1377 nucleotides) under uncultured Pelagibacterales bacterium. Its description in RNAcentral is "bacterial SSU rRNA". It matches the Rfam family "Bacterial small subunit ribosomal RNA". The record is from RNAcentral. Lineage: Bacteria; Pseudomonadati; Pseudomonadota; Alphaproteobacteria; Candidatus Pelagibacterales.